GAGGUGGGAGGGUUGCUUGAGCCCAGGAGGUAGAGGCUGCAGUGAGUCGUAAUCACACCACUGCACUCCAGCCUGAGUGACAGAGUGAGACCCUGUCUC
This is a microRNA precursor of Gorilla gorilla gorilla (western lowland gorilla), 99 nucleotides long. The record is from Ensembl. Lineage: Eukaryota; Metazoa; Chordata; Mammalia; Primates; Hominidae.